UACCGCGUGUGUGAAGAAGGCCUUAGGGUUGUAAAGCACUUUCAAUUGGGAGGAAAACCUACCGGUCAAUACCCGGUAGCUUGACAUUACCUUUAGAAGAAGCACCGGCUAACUCCGUGCCAGCAGCCGCGGUAAUACGGAGGGUGCGAGCGUUAAUCGGAAUUACUGGGCGUAAAGCGUGCGUAGGCGGUUCGUUAAGUCAGAUGUGAAAGCCCUGGGCUCAACCUGGGAACUGCAUUUGAAACUGGCGGACUAGAGUUUAGUAGAGGGGAGUGGAAUUUCAGGUGUAGCGGUGAAAUGCGUAGAUAUCUGAAGGAACACCAGUGGCGAAGGCGACUCCCUGGACUAGAACUGACGCUGAGGUACGAAAGCGUGGGUAGCAAACAGGAUUAGAUACCCUGGUAGUCCACGCCGUAAACGAUGUCGACUAGCCGUUGGGCCUAUAUACAGGUUUAGUGGCGCAGCUAACGCAUUAAGUCGACCGCCUGGGGAGUACGGCCGCAAGGUUAAAACUCAAAUGAAUUGACGGGGGCCCGCACAAGCGGUGGAGCAUGUGGUUUAAUUCGAUGCAACGCGAAGAACCUUACCUACCCUUGACAUCCAGAGAAUCUGUU
Molecule: ribosomal RNA, 614 nt
Filed under: uncultured bacterium
Lineage: Bacteria
Description: bacterial SSU rRNA
Rfam family: Bacterial small subunit ribosomal RNA
Source: RNAcentral